AAAAAAGGGCUACUCUUGCUGAUACAACAGAUUCAACAGAACUUAUACAAAAAAAGGGCUUCUCUUUCUUGUUUUAUCUUCUAUCUAUCAUAAGAACUGAUACAACAGAUUCAUUUAAAUUGUUGCUCACAAAAAAAGGGCUACUCUUGCUUUACUUAGUGUUACGAAAAGUACUACAAAGAUUACUAUAAGAUUUGUGAACUCAAGGCCGUACAUAAGUUGUACUGAUCCACAUGGGAAGAUUUGCUAUGUACAGCUUAUGGAAUCAUACAAGAUACAAUUUUUUUCAUCUUUUUUAAGCCAUAACUACACAUCAGCAAGUCUAGCAGUGCCACCUCUCGACAUAUUCUCCUUUGCGCUAGUUACCAGUCUUGUUCCUUGGCGAAGCCUCAAUUCCUAUAAGAUCAAAAGGGCAGGCAUGAGAGAAAGAUAAAUGGAACACUACUUGUGCAGUCUGAUACUUUUUUGGCAUCCUGUAGUGGUUAUAGUCCUUUAGUUACAACAUUUCGAUAAAAAAAUCGUGUGUUUUGCUACAGAUUACAUUACUUGAGAAUUUUUGUCUGUUUUCAACUUUAGGUCACGGAGAACCAGUAAGUUCUACUACUGGUGUAGAACCAUUUCAAGUAGGGAGUUAUGUUCUUGCGCCUACAUAUUACAAUAUUGAUUUCUUACUCUAGAUUCUAGUAUCAGAAUCCAAUGAUGAACAAGGCUUUAUAUACUACAGUGCAUUUCAGACUUCUUUGAAGUUUUAUUCAGAAUGUCCUAGGUCAAGGCUCUGGGCAAAAAUGUAGUUUCAGACUGAGCUUUUUUUAUAUAUAAAGGUAUGAAAGGCAUAGUAUUUAGACGAGAAGAAUGGGGAGAAACCUGCAUGUGACAUACAUAACAAAAUGUUCAGAACUAGUAUCGCAACAUAAUAAUAUGUGAGUACAAGUGUGCAACACAACAACGCAAUUGUACAAGUGAUACCAGGACACAAGUUAUCUACAUUCCUUUGAUUACACUACUCUGACUAGAAUUUAGUAACUAACACUAGACUCCUAUCAAGAUAACCUAUUAAGAUUAGAAUGAAUAGGAAACUCAAGCGUACUCUCAGUUCAGAGAAGUGCAAGCAUUCGGUACAGCUAGACUCAACCUAAAACAAUGACUAGCUCCGCACGAAAUGAAAAAUUAUCGAAUUGACAAGCUCCACACGAACUGAAAAACUGUCAAACUGAAGAGCUCUAGAUCAAUAUUUAUGUGGUGAGAAUCUUCUUUACCUAUACUUGAACUUGUCCUAAAUGCAUUACAUGAAAAGGGAAAGGGAGAGGAGUCACCAAACCUGACAAAACUUCAAAUGGAUUUAGCAGUGGAGCAUUUGCUGAGUAGGUAAUGGAGUUGGCUGGAGCAUUGAUGCAAACCUGAACGUACGGGACAAGGGCCUCUAUCCUUCUGUGCAGGCAAGUCUGAACUGAUACAAACUUCUUUUUGCCUAGCUACUAAUUUUUUUUAUAUAGCCAGCUAUAUUUUUUAACACACACAUUGAACCGUUUCUGGGGUUCUUAACGAGUUGAUAAUAGAAAACAUGUUGAACUGAACUUUGGGCUUCCAAAAACUACCAAAUGUUUUUGGGUUCAUUUAUGUACCUUUUUGUUAUCUUUUUCUCAACUCCAAAGCCACAAUUAUAAUCACAAUACACACAUGUACUACAGAAUUAGCCAAAACAACUAAUUUAAUCCAGAAACAGUUUCUGAACUUGGUUUGAGCUUCGUUUCUUCAGAUUCUUGAACUUUUGCAGAAGGUAUGCCUGAACUUGCGUGAAUGACAAAAAUGACACAUAGUUUGUUCUGAUUUUUUAUAAGAUGAAUUGAAAACAUAAAAUGGAGUACCUCCAUGGAGUAUCUCGACGAAUUGGAGCUUGUGCGUAACAGGAGGAGGAGGAGCAACUGAUGGAGCAUCUCAAAGACGGCGCCGCGCCUCCACCAUGAUGGUGCAGCCAGAGUUGCGGCAUCCAGGGGGCGCUCGACGACGCGCUGGGUGAGGGGGCCAGUGGUGGCACGCUAGGGUAGAUGGGGCAGUCCGCAGCUCGCAUGGGGAGGGGCCGAUCGGCGGCGCGCUGGGGGAGGGAGCCGGGCGGCGGCGGCGCACUGGAGGAGGGAGCAGGGCGGCGGCGUCGCGCUCGGGGAGGGAGCCGGGCGGCGGAGGCGCGACGGGGAGGGAGCCGGGCGGCGGCGGCGCGACGGGGAGGGAGCCG
Molecule: long non-coding RNA, 2230 nt
Filed under: Triticum aestivum (bread wheat)
Lineage: Eukaryota; Viridiplantae; Streptophyta; Magnoliopsida; Poales; Poaceae
Description: long non-coding RNA (TAES_LNC007145)
Source: RNAcentral